This 462-nucleotide ribosomal RNA is filed under the name uncultured bacterium. RNAcentral's name for it is "partial 16S ribosomal RNA". It matches the Rfam family "Bacterial small subunit ribosomal RNA", at positions 29 to 523 of the family's 1533-position model. The record is from RNAcentral.
AACGAACGCUGGCGGUAUGCUUGACACAUGCAAGUCGAACGGACUUGUUGGGGCUUGCUCUGACAAGUUAGUGGCAAACGGGUGAGUAACACGUGGGAAUCUACCCAUCAGUACGGAAUAACAUUGGAAACAAAUGCUAAUACCGUAUAUUCUCUAAGGAGGAAAGAUUUAUCGCUGAUGGAUGAGCCCGCGUUAGAUUAGGUAGUUGGUAGGGUAAUGGCCUACCAAGCCGACGAUCUAUAGCUGGUCUGAGAGGAUGAUCAGCCACACCGGGACUGAGACACGGCCCAGACUCCUACGGGAGGCAGCAGUGGGGAAUAUUGGACAAUGGGCGAAAGCCUGAUCCAGCAAUACCGCGUGAGUGAUGAAGGCCUUAGGGUUGUAAAGCUCUUUUAGUGGGGAAGAUAAUGACGGUACCCACAGAAAAAGCCCCGGCUAACUCCGUGCCAGCCGCCGCAGUAA